Molecule: long non-coding RNA, 656 nt
Filed under: Felis catus (domestic cat)
Lineage: Eukaryota; Metazoa; Chordata; Mammalia; Carnivora; Felidae
Description: lncRNA (ENSFCAG00000052861.1)
Source: RNAcentral
ACAGCUACCAAAAAAGAAGAGAGAGAAAAAAAAAAGCGGAUUUUGUUUUUUUCUGUUUUCCUAGGAAACCUUCAAAGGUGAGGAAAUAAAAGCUCAGAGAGGUUGAGCGUGUUUCUAAAGUGACCCAAGUUCAGAGCAUUUGAAUCACUUGGCCGAGUGGCUGGCCAAGCAGAAACACUGGACAGGACAGACCGGGCGGCAAGAAUGAGAAGCACCGUUUGGAGUCACGUCCGAGUCCGCACGGUGUCUGGGAGAGGGCGAGCUCCCGGGGCCAGUCGACGGAUCUGGAAGGUCCCCCUCUUGGCUGAACUCAGUCAGAAGCCAGAGUGCACAGGAUGUUGAUAUUACCCCACAAGUCGGCCUCCAAGAUGGAGAGCAGGGGGGGUCUGAUGGGAAAAUGGAAGAUACUACAGAGUCGCCACGUCUGAGGAUGUGCCUAGGAGAAGAGAGAUUCUGGUAAGCGAUAGAGUGAGGUUGGGGUGAUCCGGGGCUAAUCUUUGGAGUUUGUCCUACGUGCCGAGCAAAAGUUCAGUGUUUGCUUUGCCAAACGCAAAAGGUCGGGGGUGGACAGAAACCUGGUCUCUUUUAUUCCAACUGAGGUCUGUCCUUUAAUUUAUAAAAAUAAAUGCACUCACGUAGUGGUGGAACUCGUACGU